ACACGGGUUUUCCUUCUGCCCGGUUGUUUGGUGGUGCAGUGGUCCAGUGGUGGAGGGCCAUCUAAUUAAAUAGAGCUUUAGGCUUCACGGCCAAAGUAUACACAGACUGAGUAUUGUCCAGCCUUCCUUGUCCACUUGUGUUGGAGUGUAGCAUUCUACAACUUAGUGGAACUGGGCCUUGUUGUCUGUGAGCCACUGUUUUCCUCCUACCACGUUUUUAUUUAUUAAACACUGUGCAAUAUCUCUGA
Long non-coding RNA from Astyanax mexicanus (Mexican tetra), 248 nucleotides. RefSeq lists it as uncharacterized. NCBI's taxonomy places the organism in Eukaryota, Metazoa, Chordata, Actinopteri, Characiformes, Acestrorhamphidae. The record is from RefSeq and is a predicted model, not a curated record. The transcript has 3 exons.